CACCGCGGUUAUACGAGAGACCCUAGUUGAUAAAUACGGCGUAAAGAGUGGUUAGGAAACAAACAAAUAAAGUCAAAUACUCUCCAUACUGUUAUAAGUUUUAUGAGAAUACGAAGCCCUAUUACGAAAGUAACUUUACCUCUUCCGACCCCACGAAAGCUAAGAAA
RNAcentral lists this ribosomal RNA (167 nucleotides) under Nematobrycon palmeri (emperor tetra). Its description in RNAcentral is "partial 12S rRNA". The record is from RNAcentral. Lineage: Eukaryota; Metazoa; Chordata; Actinopteri; Characiformes; Acestrorhamphidae. RNAcentral also lists the same sequence under 1 other name.